RNAcentral lists this ribosomal RNA (433 nucleotides) under uncultured bacterium. RNAcentral's name for it is "partial 16S ribosomal RNA". It matches the Rfam family "Bacterial small subunit ribosomal RNA", at positions 29 to 507 of the family's 1533-position model. The record is from RNAcentral.
AACGAACGCUGGCGGCAUGCCUAACACAUGCAAGUCGAACGAGAACUUCGGGUCUAGGGGCGCACGGGGGCGUAAGGCGGGGGAACCUGCACUUAGGUUAGGAAUAACUCCCCGAAAGGGGUGCUAAGACCGGAUAAUGUAUUAGGACAAAAGAUUUAUCGCCUUUGGAUGGGCCCGGGUUGGAUUAGCUAGUUGGUAGGGUAAAAGCCUACCAAGGCGACGAUCCAUAGCUGGUCUGAGAGGAUGCCCAGGCACACUGGGACUGCGACACGGCCCAGACUCCUACGCGAGGCAGCAGUGGGGAAUAUUGGACAAUGGGCGAAAGCCUGAUCCAGCCAUGCCGCGUGAGUGAUGAAGGCCUUAGGGUUGUAAAGCUCUUUUACCCGGGAUGAUAAUGACAGUACCGGGAGAAUAAGCUCCGGCUAACUCCGUG